GGGGUUGUAGCUCAGCAGUAGAGCACUCGCCUCACAGGUGUGAGACCCUGGGUUCGAUCCUCAGCACCA
Molecule: non-coding RNA, 69 nt
Organism: Ictidomys tridecemlineatus (thirteen-lined ground squirrel)
Lineage: Eukaryota; Metazoa; Chordata; Mammalia; Rodentia; Sciuridae
Source: Rfam